This 253-nucleotide ribosomal RNA is filed under the name uncultured bacterium. Its description in RNAcentral is "partial 16S ribosomal RNA". It matches the Rfam family "Bacterial small subunit ribosomal RNA", at positions 524 to 776 of the family's 1533-position model. The record is from RNAcentral.
UACAGAGGUCUCAAGCGUUGUUCGGAUUCAUUGGGCGUAAAGGGUGCGUAGGCGGCGCGGUAAGUCGGGUGUGAAAUCUUGGAGCUUAACUCCGAAACUGCGUCCGAUACUGGAUGGCUUGAGUUCGGGAGAGGGAUGCGGAAUUCCAGGUGUAGCGGUGAAAUGCGUAGAUAUCUGGAGGAACACCGGUGGCGAAGGCGGCGUUCUGGACUGCAACUGACACUGAUAGACGAAAGCCAGGGGAGCAAACGGG